This 73-nucleotide transfer RNA is filed under the name Ixodes scapularis (black-legged tick). RNAcentral describes it as "tRNA-Thr". It matches the Rfam family "tRNA". Rfam says of the family: Transfer RNA (tRNA) molecules are approximately 80 nucleotides in length. The record is from RNAcentral. Lineage: Eukaryota; Metazoa; Arthropoda; Arachnida; Ixodida; Ixodidae.
CCCUGGUUAGCUUAGUUGGUAGAGCACUCCACCAGUAAUAGAGAGGUCCCGGGUUCGAUACCCGGAUCCGGCG